GGCCGACUAGCUCAGUUGGUUAGAGCGUGGUGCUAAUACAUGUAUCUGUUACGCCAAGGUCGUCGGUUCGACCCCGGCGUUGGCCA
Non-coding RNA from Lenzites betulinus, 86 nucleotides. Lineage: Eukaryota; Fungi; Basidiomycota; Agaricomycetes; Polyporales; Polyporaceae. The record is from the annotation of a GenBank genome assembly.